GAUGAACGCUAGCUACAGGCUUAACACAUGCAAGUCGAGGGGUAACGAGAGGAAAGCUUGCUUUCCUUGUCGACGACCGGCGCACGGGUGAGUAACGCGUAUCCAACCUGCCCCCAACUAGGGAAUAACCUUGCGAAAGUAAGACUAAUACCCUAUAAUUUCCUCAGAUGACAUCUGACGAGGAAUAAAGAUUUAUCGGUUGUGGAUGGGGAUGCGUCUGAUUAGCUUGUUGGCGGGGUAACGGCCCACCAAGGCAACGAUCAGGAGGGGUUAUGAGAGGAAGGUCCCACACAGUGCAACUGAGACACGGUCCAAACUCCUACGGGAGGCAGCAGUGAGGAAUCUUGGUCACUGGACUAAAGCCUGAACCAGCCAAAUAGCGUGCAGGAUUAAGGCCCUAUGGGUUGUAAACUGUUUUUAUACAGGAAUAAAGUUAGCCACGUGUGGUUAUUUGUAGGUACUGUAUGAAUAAGGACCGGCUAAUUCCGUGCCACCCGCCGCAGUAA
This 506-nucleotide ribosomal RNA is filed under the name uncultured bacterium. Its description in RNAcentral is "partial 16S ribosomal RNA". It matches the Rfam family "Bacterial small subunit ribosomal RNA", at positions 28 to 523 of the family's 1533-position model. The record is from RNAcentral.